Molecule: ribosomal RNA, 369 nt
Filed under: uncultured bacterium
Lineage: Bacteria
Description: bacterial SSU rRNA
Rfam family: Bacterial small subunit ribosomal RNA
Source: RNAcentral
GACCCCGCACAAGCGGCGGAGCAUGUGGUUUAAUUCGAUGAUACGCGAGGAACCUUACCAGGGCUUAAAUGUAACGGGACAGAUCUAGAGAUAGAUCCUUCUUCGGACUCAUUACAAGGUGCUGCAUGGUUGUCGUCAGCUCGUGCCGUGAGGUGUCAGGUUAAGUCCUAUAACGAGCGCAACCCCCCAUCGUUAGUUGCCAACGAGUAAUGUCGGGAACUCUAACGAAACUGCCGGUGCAAACCGUGAGGAAGGUGGGAUGACGUCAAAUCAUCACGGCCCUUACGUCCUGGGCUACACACGUGCUACAAUGGUCGGUACAGAGAGCAGCCACUACGCGAGUAGGAGCAAAUCUUCAAAGCCGAUCUC